Non-coding RNA from Podarcis muralis (Common wall lizard), 2363 nucleotides. NCBI's taxonomy places the organism in Eukaryota, Metazoa, Chordata, Lepidosauria, Squamata, Lacertidae. The record is from RefSeq and is a predicted model, not a curated record.
AACACGAUGCUAUGUGGCAUAUAGCCUAGGGUUGCCAAUUUUUAACCUAGCUCCUAUAAUUCUCACUUUUAACCUGCCAAUUGCUGCUGCUGGCUAAUUGGUCAUCCUAGAAGUAUAUCUACAGCAUAAGAAGAGUUAAUAACACCAGUCACACCACUACUUUCUUCUUACCUGAAACAGAUCCAGCCUCACUUUGCCAGGGCUUUUGUUUGGUUUUGGUUUUUUGCAGGGAACAUUCCAGUUUCCUUAAAGCAAACAGUUGUCACUUGAUUUCUUUUCUCUCUCAUCCCUGCCAAACUCUCUGGUCAACAUUUUGUUUCCUGGUAACAGCUGAGACACAGAUAAACAUCUGACACAUUGCUGGCAUUGCAGCAGCAGCAGCUUCUAGUUCCACAACAACAGAAGUCCCAGUCUUGAGAAGAAUAUGAAGAAGAAAAAAGAUAAAUAUUCCUGUCUUCCCACCCACAGAUUUCAUCCAAAAGUGAUAUAAUAGCAACCUUCAACUCAGGUCACAGUGCUCCUUCUGAGAUCUAAACCAGACCUGCCACAGAUGUCAGUCGGUUUCUGCAUGGUAGCUUUUAUCUUUGUGAAGGCAAGAGGCUCUCUGGUUCUUGUGUGCUGGUCAGGGCCUGUGGACUUUGUCAAAAUAUUGAUACGCUACAUCUUUCCCUAGAGCACAGCGCUCGUGACAGAAGGGGUAGAAAACCGGUUAAGAUCAAGUUGGAAAUAGUUAUAAGUUUUGGAUUUGGGAACUGGCAAAACAACCUUGGGCACCUCUGGAGAUAUUUUGUACUUAGAUCAAAGCAUAUUCUAUGUACACCUCUUGACUUCCAUCCAGCGCCAGCAUUCCUCAGGAGAUAGGAACAUUUCUGGCAUUCUUUUGAAACCAGCAAGGAGUAGGCCAUUCUUCAUGUCCCCUUAGCAGAAUUUACUCUUUAUGGAGAUAGAAAAUAGAGAGUUGCACAUAGCCUUAACCUAGAAAAAAUUGGCUGUUUUUCUGUGUGCGUAAAGUAGCACCUUUCUACAUGUUGGUAUCACCAGGGCUGGCCCCCCCCAGGAGGCAGACUGAAGCAGCCUCCUGGAGUAGCAGAAUCCCACGGUCAGCCUGCUGGCCUGGCCACCACUGAGUUGCACGGUGGUUUCUGCCAAGAUCUUGUGAGCUCUGUGGAAGCCACGGCAGUGGUGCAACCACAGUAAGCAAGGUUUGGGCAGGUGUGUGUGUGUGUGCCUGUGAUGGCGAACCAGAAUGGGCCACCCCUGGGUAUCAUUAUGGUGAAAACAGUAGAUACAUUUUAUCUGUGUUGGAACCAUACAUCCUUGAUUCUUCCUUUAUCAAUUUUUUAUUAAUACUCCUGAAGGCUGACAUUCAGUCCCCAAACUUACCUGACAAGAUUUGGCAGUGGAACAUGAGUGGUAAUAGCAAAUAAUAAGGUGUCCCUUUAGACAUGUAUGAACUCAGGACAUCUCCUUCUCCAUGGCGUAAUCAGGGUAUACUCUUAGAGAACACCUAGGAUUGCCUUGAUCCAGCACCACCGAACCUCCCCACAAAAUAAUAAUAAUAAUAAUAAUAAUAAUAAUAAUAAAUAAUAAUAAUAAUAUGUUUAUAUGCUGCCCAUUUAACUGGGCUAUCCCAGCCACACAAAAAUAAUCUAGCCUCCCUGCAAACCAAUCAGGAUGGAUACUCGAUAAACAGGUUGUCUGGAAAUGCCCUAGGUUGAAAGAGUGGUUGGGAUAAUCAAUAAUGCCAACUUUCUCCAAUAUUCCCACCAUAUUUUAUGCUUACAGAUCUGAAAUGCAACACAGAGAGCCCCAACCUUCUUAAGUGAGAUGUUUGAAUUGGGGAGCUACAAGAGGGACUCUUCCUUCUGUGUCUACCUGCAAACCUAAUUUUCUCUAUUCUAGCACAUGCUAGAAUAACCUCAGCAGAGUGAGAAUGAUGUGUGUCGGCAUAGCUCUGCCUGCAUUGGGAGGCCCAUAGUCGCUAUUCCUGGACCCAGCAGGCAGCAGAACUGAGCUGGCUAAGUGGGAACUUCAGGAGCUGCCAGGUGGGAUGUCAGUGAGGAGGCUUUCACUAUCUGAAUGUGCAGACUGGUGGCUCUUGGUGAUACCAAAUCAGCUCUGUUGCUCUAAACUGCAUCUGGCUCUGCAGUUGACCUUCCACACAUUCCAUAUUCUGUCCACACUGGUGAAUGUGGCAUAUCACUCUUGCUGAGUUGGAAGGAAAUACCCACUUCUGAACAUGCCAAUUUAAAAAUCCAUUUUUGAUCAGUUUUUAAAAGCUCACUAAUUUAAUUAGUGCUAAAGCAUUUUUAGGCACUCUUGUGUAAUUAAUACUUUAAAAAAUAAAGGUAUGGUUAAAACUG